RNAcentral lists this ribosomal RNA (253 nucleotides) under uncultured bacterium. RNAcentral describes it as "partial 16S ribosomal RNA". It matches the Rfam family "Bacterial small subunit ribosomal RNA", at positions 524 to 776 of the family's 1533-position model. The record is from RNAcentral.
UACGUAGGGUGCGAGCGUUGUCCGGAAUUAUUGGGCGUAAAGGGCUCGUAGGCGGUUUGUCGCGUCGGGAGUGAAAACCUUGGGCUUAACUCAGGGCUUGCUUUCGAUACGGGCAGACUAGAGGUAUGCAGGGGAGAACGGAAUUCCUGGUGUAGCGGUGAAAUGCGCAGAUAUCAGGAGGAACACCGGUGGCGAAAGCGGCUACCUGGCCCAUUCUUGACGCUGAGGCGCGAAAGCUAGGGGAGCAAACGGG